Molecule: long non-coding RNA, 1220 nt
Organism: Nicotiana attenuata
Lineage: Eukaryota; Viridiplantae; Streptophyta; Magnoliopsida; Solanales; Solanaceae
Exons: 4
Source: RefSeq, a predicted model, not a curated record
CAUUUGCCUAAUUAAGCGGUGGCUUUCUAUUCUUAUCCUCCUGGAACUGAAAGAUGAAACUCUAAAUUUUCUUUCAAUCCUCUUUCAAUUUUCUUUUUGAUUAUAUGUUCUUCGCUUUUCUUUCUGAGUCUAUGUUCUUCGUUUGACUUUCAGUCUCAACUGUUGUGCCUUUGUGACUUUUUGGCCUUUUGGUGAGCAUAGUUACUACUUGAAUCAAAUUAAAAAUUUCUGAAUAGAAAACCCAGAAACGACGCUAAGGAUCCGUAACAAAGGAGAAAGAAAAGGUGAGAUAGGGAGAGAGAGGCUCUGGAAGAUUCAAGAAGAGAUAAUUGGAGAUAGAAGUACAUUGAAGCAGAUGCAUUCUCAAAACAAAAACAUUUCUUCGUACCAGGCAGAACGAAAUGCAGAAAUGAAUUUCAGACGGCGUGAGAGGUAUAAACAAAUGGCAUCCACUGAAAAACAGGCUCUGCUGCUAAAACGCCGACUACGAGGAAAAAAUUCUGUUGCUGCUUAAUGUCAUCUAAAACAGCUAAUAUGGACCGUACCAUUACGCUGGCAGCCCAAUCUGAGAGGGCAAAAGAUUCUGCCCUUCCAUCCUCAAUAUUUGAAGUAGGCAAGUACAAUCCUCUAUGGAAAAAGUUAUCAUCAUUUUUCAAUUGAGAAAAUAUUUACUUAUAUUUUCUAAAAUUAUCUUCUACUAGGGUCAACGUCUGGUACGACUAAUGAACAAAAUCAGAAUUCUUAUACUAUUUUGAAUAGAGGUCCAAAGGUAAAUAAAACAGGCAACAUAACCAUUAGCCAAAUGCGAUCAGAAUACGUCCCACUAAAAUUAAUUUCACGUUGCAAGUUCUGUCGAGCUAAGAAAUUUCAGUUUGAACCUCCUGGAUUUUGUUGUAGCAAUGGUUCAGUCAGCUUAACUGCACACAAAAUGCCCACAGAAUUGCGGAAUUUAUAUGUAGGAAAUACUGAGGAAUCUAAACGCUUUCGCACAUACAUUAGAACAUACAAUAAUAUCUUUGCAUUUACAUCACUUGGUGUGAGCUACGACAAAGAUUUAGCGAGAAGAAAUCAUGGUAUUUAUACUUUUAGAGUUCAAGGACAAAUGUAUCAUUUCAUAGAUGAUCUAUUCCCUGCGAACCAAAAGGCAAAAAAUCUGCAAUUAUACUUCUAUGACAAUGAUAAUGAACUAGCAAACAGAAUGGCUUGUUCCGAUAGGAUUG